Molecule: non-coding RNA, 71 nt
Organism: Podarcis lilfordi (Lilford's wall lizard)
Lineage: Eukaryota; Metazoa; Chordata; Lepidosauria; Squamata; Lacertidae
Source: the annotation of a GenBank genome assembly
GGAUAGCUCAGGUGGUUAGAGCAUGGUGCUGAUAACACUGAGGUUGCAGGUUUGAUUCCUGAUUGGGACCA